RNAcentral lists this ribosomal RNA (445 nucleotides) under uncultured bacterium. RNAcentral describes it as "partial 16S ribosomal RNA". It matches the Rfam family "Bacterial small subunit ribosomal RNA", at positions 354 to 796 of the family's 1533-position model. The record is from RNAcentral.
GUAAGGAAUAUUGGUCAAUGGGCGCAAGCCUGAACCAGCCAUGCCGCGUGCAGGAAGACGGCCCUCCGGGUUGUAAACUGCUUUUGUACGGGAAUAAACCUCUCUACGUGUAGGGAGCUGAAUGUACCGUAAGAAUAAGGAUCGGCUAACUCCGUGCCAGCAGCCGCGGUAAUACGGAGGAUCCAAGCGUUAUCCGGAUUUAUUGGGUUUAAAGGGUGCGUAGGCGGCCUGUUAAGUCAGGGGUGAAAGACGGUGGCUCAACCAUCGCAGUGCCCUUGAUACUGAUGGGCUUGAAUAGACUAGAGGUAGGCGGAAUGUGACAAGUAGCGGUGAAAUGCAUAGAUAUGUCACAGAACACCGAUUGCGAAGGCAGCUUACUAUGGUCUGAUUGACGCUGAGGCACGAAAGCGUGGGGAUCGAACAGGAUUAGAUACCCGAGUAGUCC